GGUCAGAGCAUGCGGCUCAUAUCCGCAGAGUCCGGGGUUCAAGUCCCUGCACCGCCACCA
Molecule: transfer RNA, 60 nt
Filed under: Syntrophobacteraceae bacterium
Lineage: Bacteria; Pseudomonadati; Thermodesulfobacteriota; Syntrophobacteria; Syntrophobacterales; Syntrophobacteraceae
Description: tRNA-Leu
Rfam family: tRNA
About the family: Transfer RNA (tRNA) molecules are approximately 80 nucleotides in length. Their secondary structure includes four short double-helical elements and three loops (D, anti-codon, and T loops).
Source: RNAcentral